GUCUAGUGGUCAGAUGCUGGCCUUGUAAUCCUGGGGUCCCGGGUUCGAUUCCCGG
This 55-nucleotide transfer RNA is filed under the name Zootermopsis nevadensis. The record is from Rfam by way of RNAcentral. Lineage: Eukaryota; Metazoa; Arthropoda; Insecta; Blattodea; Termopsidae.